This 253-nucleotide ribosomal RNA is filed under the name uncultured prokaryote. RNAcentral's name for it is "partial 16S ribosomal RNA". It matches the Rfam family "Bacterial small subunit ribosomal RNA", at positions 525 to 777 of the family's 1533-position model. The record is from RNAcentral.
ACAGGGGGUGCAAACGUUGCUCGGAAUUAUUGGGCGUAAAGCGUGCGCAGGCGGUUCGUUGUGUCGGCGGUGAAAGCCCCGGGCUCAACCUGGGAAUGGCCGUUGAAACUGGCGAACUGGAGUGUGGCAGAGGGGGGUGGAAUUCCGCGUGUAGCAGUGAAAUGCGUAGAGAUGUGGAGGAACACCGAUGGCGAAGGCAGCCCCCUGGGCUAACACUGACGCUCAGGCACGAAAGCGUGGGGAGCAAACAGGA